This 229-nucleotide ribosomal RNA is filed under the name uncultured bacterium. RNAcentral describes it as "partial 16S ribosomal RNA". It matches the Rfam family "Bacterial small subunit ribosomal RNA", at positions 568 to 796 of the family's 1533-position model. The record is from RNAcentral.
UGCGUAGGCAGAAUGAUCAGUCAAUGGUGAAAUACCUCGGCUCAACCGAGGAACUGCCAUUGAUACUGUCAUUCUUGAGUACACUUGAAGUGGGCGGAAUGUAUCAUGUAGCGGUGAAAUGCAUAGAUAUGAUACAGAACACCGAUAGCGAAGGCAGCUCACUAAAUUGUAACUGACGCUAAGGCACGAAAGCGUGGGGAGCAAACAGGAUUAGAUACCCUGGUAGUCC